UGGGGGAUAUUGCACAAUGGGCGAAAGCCUGAUGCAGCGACGCCGCGUGGGGGAUGAAGGCCUUCGGGUUGUAAACUUCUUUUGCUCUGAACAAGGCGCACCAUGGGGUGUGUUGAGUGUAGGGGUUGAUUAGCGCCGGCUAACUACGUGCCAGCAGCCGCGGUAAUACGUAGGGCGCGAGCGUUGUCCGGAAUUAUUGGGCGUAAAGGGCUUGUAGGUGGCUGGUUGCGUCUGUCGUGAAAGCUCAUGGCUUAACUGUGGGGUUGCGGUGGGUACGGGCUGGCUUGAGUGCAGUAGGGGAGGGUGGAAUUCCUGGUGUAGCGGUGGAAUGCGCAGAUAUCAGGAGGAAUACCGGUGGCGAAGGCGGGUCUCUGGGCUGUUACUGACACUGAGGAGCGAAAGCAUGGGGAGCGAACAGG
This 419-nucleotide ribosomal RNA is filed under the name bacterium. RNAcentral's name for it is "partial 16S ribosomal RNA". It matches the Rfam family "Bacterial small subunit ribosomal RNA", at positions 355 to 776 of the family's 1533-position model. The record is from RNAcentral.